GAGGGUAUAGUGCAAGUGGUAGAUUGCAUGCUUAGCAUGCAUGAGGUCCUGGGUUCAAUCCCCAGUACUCCA
RNAcentral lists this transfer RNA (72 nucleotides) under Camelus bactrianus (Bactrian camel). It matches the Rfam family "tRNA". From Rfam's summary of the family: Transfer RNA (tRNA) molecules are approximately 80 nucleotides in length. Their secondary structure includes four short double-helical elements and three loops (D, anti-codon, and T loops). Further hydrogen bonds mediate the characteristic L-shaped molecular structure. tRNAs have two regions of fundamental functional importance: the anti-codon, which is responsible for specific mRNA codon recognition, and the 3' end, to which the tRNAs corresponding amino acid is attached (by aminoacyl-tRNA synthetases). tRNAs cope with the degeneracy of the genetic code in two manners: having more than one tRNA (with a specific anti-codon) for a particular amino acid; and 'wobble' base-pairing, i.e. permitting non-standard base-pairing at the 3rd anti-codon position. The record is from Rfam by way of RNAcentral. RNAcentral also lists the same sequence under 1 other name. Lineage: Eukaryota; Metazoa; Chordata; Mammalia; Artiodactyla; Camelidae.